Gossypium raimondii (Peruvian cotton) is the source of this 1521-nucleotide long non-coding RNA. RefSeq lists it as uncharacterized. Lineage: Eukaryota; Viridiplantae; Streptophyta; Magnoliopsida; Malvales; Malvaceae. The record is from RefSeq and is a predicted model, not a curated record. The transcript is spliced from 2 exons.
UUCUAUAAGUUUUUUUUUUUAUGAAUUUUAUAUUUUUCGAUCGUUUUAACUUUAUCUAGCUAAUUCGGGGGUUAAUUUAUAAAAUUGUUAAAUAUUUUGGAAGAUGUCAUUGAUGUGUUUAGUGUGUUCUUGAAGUUUAAUGGUGAAUUACCAUGCUUGGAUGUUAAAUAGAAAUAUUAUGUUAAGCAAUUUUGUAUGAUUUUAAGUUUAGGGAUUUAAUUGAAAAUAAAUUAAAUUAAGCAAGGUUUUCUUGUAAAAUUUCAGCAUGUGUGAAUCGAUUUAGUAUAGUUAAAAAUUCGGUUUUAUGGGAAUAGGUUUAAUUUUGAAAAAUAAUCUUGUUUCGAGUUUAGGGAUUAAAUCGAAUAAAGUGUAAAAGUUUGAGAAAAAUAUGUAAAUUUGUAAAUAAGAAGUCAUAUGUUUUAAAUUGAAUAGUAUAUGAAAUUGAGGUUAAUAAAUUGAAAUAAAUUAUUUUAUAGAUCAAGAAUAAGUAGAUAACCGUGAAAAAAAAGGAAAGUUGUUGAGUAGUCCCUGAACCUUUACUGUCUCUGCAGUUUAGCCCAGGUAAGUUCAUAUUGUUUAAAUUAGAAUAAAUGGUAAUAUUAUGUUGGCUUGUGAGUUAUGAUUUUUUGAAUAUUCGUAUUUAUAUAUUUAUAUAAUGCUAUAAUCAUAAAGUUAAUUCAAGGUGAGAAAGGUAAUUGAUUUGUAAAAUAUUAUGUGAUUACUAGUAUCAAGCUCGAAUGAACAUAGGGUAGGAUACAAUUGGCAUGCCAAUAGGUUAUAUUGCACGCUGUACAGGUCUGACUUGUGAUGAGAUGAUGAUUCUUAAUUUAUUCCUGUCCACUAAUUAUACAAGAGUCUAGCAUUUGUUGUAAACUAUCGUGUUAAUUUACAGUGUUUCUGGCGUGUUAUCGAGGGUGAAUGUAAAGCCUUUGGGCUUGAAACUUGGUGCUGAGGUGUGUUCUGGAGGGAUGUUAGCCUACAGGCUAGGCUCUUAGUGCCAAGGCGUGUUCUCGGUUGGUUUGGCUCAUUGGAGCAUUUUGGUGUGUUUCGGUGGAUAACUGUGUAUCCAUAUAUGUUAUAUCGUUCAUCGGACAUAUUUAAAUUGGUUAAAUGACUUGUGUAUUGAAUUGUAAAAAUAUUUGCUUGAUUUCUAAUAGUAUAUCAUGACUUGAUAUUGAUUGAGUUCAUAUGAAUUAAUUGAUUAUACAACAUGUAUAUCUGUAUAACUCACCAUUAAUUGAUUGUGGUUGGCAGGACUAACGUCUAUUAACAGUGUUAUUAAAUGAUUUAUUAUGUUUAUUCGAUAACAUUUUGCGGAUUCGGGCGGUUGGAUCAACGCGAAUAUCACACUAUCCAGAUUCGUUUUGGUAGAUUUUUAAACAAGUUUAAUUUUGAGAUGUGGCAUGUAAUAGGAGUAUCUUGUAAAUGUUUUAAGUACUUAUUACAAAUGGUAUUUUCUCUACUUGUGUGAUAAAUAUAUGUUUUAGUUAAUAAUGAGCUAAUUCAUGGUUUGGUAUGAAA